RNAcentral lists this long non-coding RNA (695 nucleotides) under Equus caballus (horse). RNAcentral describes it as "lncRNA (ENSECAG00000036732.3)". Lineage: Eukaryota; Metazoa; Chordata; Mammalia; Perissodactyla; Equidae. The record is from RNAcentral.
AGCAACAUGUGGACCAAUGAACCAUGAACUGCAGCACCCCAUGCUUGGGACUCAGCACCCUACCACACUGCCUGACCCUCUCCAAUCCAUUAGAAGCAAGCUGCUUCUCACUGCUCCAACUCUUAACAGGCCUAUUAAAUGUGAUUUUGGUCCUCUUGGUUUCUCUGAUGCUGCUGGGGCUCCCAUUUGCCUGAAGGGGCAUUCCUGUGAGUCAGCAUCCUCUCUAAUCAACAUGUUGCAGAAAAGUGUUUACACACAACAUCCAGAGAAGAGGUGGGAUGCCUACCACAGCAUGGCAUGCCUAGCGGUGCCAUGUCCGCAGCCGGGAUCUGAACUGGCGAACCCUGGGUCUCUGAGAAGUGGAACAUGCGAACUUAACCACUGCACCACCGGGACUAUAAUUGUCUGGAGCAGAAGAGAAAAGAUUGAUGUCUGGAUGAGAACAAGAGAACUGAGAAGAUUAAAUUAUUUCAGUAUGAAUCAAAUCACUCAUCUCUUUUCUGCUUAUUGGCUAGAUCACAAAGACGGUUUUACCGACUCUGACUUUUUAUGUCACUGGCCAUGUGGAAUCCUUACAUGCUGCUAGGUCCCCUGUUCUCAUAUUUCAUAGAAGUUCAAAGUAAGAUGAUAUAUCGCAAUUUGCAUUUAUCCUAGAGUUUGUAUAGGUGUUGCAUUUUAGUCUACUAUUCGGGAAC